This 457-nucleotide ribosomal RNA is filed under the name uncultured bacterium. RNAcentral describes it as "partial 16S ribosomal RNA". It matches the Rfam family "Bacterial small subunit ribosomal RNA", at positions 339 to 795 of the family's 1533-position model. The record is from RNAcentral.
CUACGGGGUGCUGCAGUAGGGAAUUUUCGGCAAUGGAGGAAACUCUGACCGAGCAACGCCGCGUGAAUGAAGACAUAUUUCGGUAUGUAAAGUUCUUUUAUUAGGGAAGAGUAGCCCAUGGAAAAAUGGGUGUGACGGUACCUAAUGAAUAAGCCCCGGCUAACUAUGUGCCAGCAGCCGCGGUAAUACAUAGGGGGCAAGCGUUAUCCGGAAUUAUUGGGCGUAAAGGGUGCGUAGGCGGCCAUUUAAGUCUUUGGUAUAAGUGCAGUGCUUAACGCUGUGAUGCUAAGGAAACUGAAUGGCUUGAGUGAGAUAGAGGCAAGUGGAAUUCCAUGUGUAGCGGUAAAAUGCGUAAAUAUAUGGAGGAACACCAGUGGCGAAGGCGGCUUGCUGGGUCUACACUGACGCUGAGGCACGAAAGCGUGGGGAGCAAACAGGAUUAGAUACCCGUGUAGUC